This 503-nucleotide ribosomal RNA is filed under the name uncultured bacterium. Its description in RNAcentral is "partial 16S ribosomal RNA". It matches the Rfam family "Bacterial small subunit ribosomal RNA", at positions 28 to 523 of the family's 1533-position model. The record is from RNAcentral.
GAUGAACGCUAGCUACAGGCUAACACAUGCAAGUCGAGGGGUAGCAGGGUAGCAAUACCGCUGACGACCGGCGCACGGGUGAGUAACACGUAUCCAACCUUCCCAUAACUCGGGGAUAGCCUUUCGAACGAAAGAUUAAUACCCGAUAGUACUUUUUCAAGGCAUCUUGAUAAAGUUAAAGAUUUAUUGUUUAUGGAUGGGGAUGCGUUCCAUUAGAGAGUUGGUUGGGUAACGGCUCACCAAGUCUUCGAUGGAUAGGGGUUCUGGUAGGAAGGUCCCACACAUUGGUACUGAGACACGGAGCAUACUCCUACGGGAGGCAGCAGUGAGGAAUAUUGGUCAAUGGGCGAGAGCCUGAACCAGCCAAGUAGCGUGAAGGAUGAAGGUCUUAUGGAUUGUAAACUUCUUUUGUACGGAGCGAAAAGGCCCUCUCUAAUACAGUGGGCUCAUGACGGUACCGUAAGAAUAAGCACCGGCUAACUACGUGCCAGCAGCCGCCGUAA